RNAcentral lists this ribosomal RNA (425 nucleotides) under uncultured bacterium. Its description in RNAcentral is "partial 16S ribosomal RNA". It matches the Rfam family "Bacterial small subunit ribosomal RNA", at positions 354 to 796 of the family's 1533-position model. The record is from RNAcentral.
GUGGGGAAUCUUGCGCAAUGGGCGAAAGCCUGACGCAGCCAUGCCGCGUGAAUGAUGAAGGUCUUAGGAUUGUAAAAUUCUUUCACCGGGGACGAUAAUGACGGUACCCGGAGAAGAAGCUCCGGCUAACUUCGUUCCAGCAGCCGCGGUAAUACGAAUGGGGCUAGCGUUGCUCGGAAUUACUGGGCGUAAAGGGCGCGUAGGCGGUCAGCUUAGUCAGAGGUGAAAGCCCAGGGCUCAACCUUGGAAUUGCCUUUGAUACUGGCUGUCUUGAGUUUGGGAGAGGUGAGUGGAACUCCGAGUGUAGAGGUGAAAUUCGUAGAUAUUCGGAAGAACACCAGUGGCGAAGGCGACUCACUGGCCCAAUACUGACGCUGAGGCGCGAAAGCGUGGGGAGCAAACAGGAUUAGAAACCCCAGUAGUCC